RNAcentral lists this ribosomal RNA (860 nucleotides) under uncultured bacterium. Its description in RNAcentral is "bacterial SSU rRNA". It matches the Rfam family "Bacterial small subunit ribosomal RNA", at positions 28 to 923 of the family's 1533-position model. The record is from RNAcentral.
AAUGAACGCUGGCGGCAUGCCUAACACAUGCAAGUCGAACGAAGGCCCGAUUUCGGUUGGGUCCUUAGUGGCGCACGGGUGCGUAACGCGUGGGAAUCUGCCCCUUGGUUCGGAAUAACAGUUAGAAAUGACUGCUAAUACCGGAUGAUGACGUAAGUCCAAAGAUUUAUCGCCGAGGGAUGAGCCCGCGUAGGAUUAGCUAGUUGGUGUGGUAAGAGCGCACCAAGGCGACGAUCCUUAGCUGGUCUGAGAGGAUGAUCAGCCACACUGGGACUGAGACACGGCCCAGACUCCUACGGGAGGCAGCAGUGGGGAAUAUUGGACAAUGGGCGAAAGCCUGAUCCAGCAAUGCCGCGUGAGUGAUGAAGGCCUUAGGGUUGUAAAGCUCUUUUACCCGGGAUGAUAAUGACAGUACCGGGAGAAUAAGCUCCGGCUAACUCCGUGCCAGCAGCCGCGGUAAUACGGAGGGAGCUAGCGUUAUUCGGAAUUACUGGGCGUAAAGCGCACGUAGGCGGCUUUGUAAGUAAGAGGUGAAAGCCCAGAGCUCAACUCUGGAAUUGCCUUUUAGACUGCAUCGCUUGAAUCAUGGAGAGGUCAGUGGAAUUCCGAGUGUAGAGGUGAAAUUCGUAGAUAUUCGGAAGAACACCAGUGGCGAAGGCGGCUGACUGGACAUGUAUUGACGCUGAGGUGCGAAAGCGUGGGGGAGCAAACAGGAUUAGAUACCCUGGUAGUCCACGCCGUAAACGAUGAUAACUAGCUGUCCGGGGACUUGGUCCUUGGGUGGCGCAGCUAACGCAUUAAGUUAUCCGCCUGGGGAGUACGGCCGCAAGGUUAAAACUCAAUGAAUUGACGGGGGCCUG